This 468-nucleotide ribosomal RNA is filed under the name uncultured bacterium. Its description in RNAcentral is "partial 16S ribosomal RNA". It matches the Rfam family "Bacterial small subunit ribosomal RNA", at positions 28 to 507 of the family's 1533-position model. The record is from RNAcentral.
GACGAACGCUGGCGGCGUGCUUAACACAUGCAAGUCGAACGGAAAGGCCCUGCUUUUGUGGGGUGCUCGAGUGGCGAACGGGUGAGUAGCACGUGAGUAACCUGCCCUUGACUUUGGGAUAACUUCAGGAAACUGGGGCUAAUACCGGAUAGGAGCUCCUGCUGCAUGGUGGGGGUUGGAAAGUUUCGGCGGUUGGGGAUGGACUCGCGGCUUAUCAGCUUGUUGGUGGGGUAGUGGCUUACCAAGGCUUUGACGGGUAGCCGGCCUGAGAGGGUGACCGGCCACCGUGGGAAUGAGGUCCGGCCCAGCCUCCUACGGGAGGCAGCAGUGGGGAAUAUUGCACAAUGGGCGGAAGCCUGAUGCAGCAACGCCGCGUGCGGGAUGACGGCCUUCGGGUUGUACACCGCUUUCGCCUGUGACGAAGCGUGAGUGACGGUAAUGGGUAAAGAAGCACCGGCUAACUACGUG